This 555-nucleotide ribosomal RNA is filed under the name uncultured Glomus. RNAcentral's name for it is "SSU rRNA". It matches the Rfam family "Eukaryotic small subunit ribosomal RNA", at positions 548 to 1103 of the family's 1831-position model. The record is from RNAcentral. Lineage: Eukaryota; Fungi; Glomeromycota; Glomeromycetes; Glomerales; Glomeraceae.
UUGGAGGGCAAGUCUGGUGCCAGCAGCCGCGGUAAUUCCAGCUCCAAUAGCGUAUAUUAAAGUUGUUGCAGUUAAAAAGCUCGUAGUUGAAUUUCGGGAUCAAUGUUUCGGUCAUGCCGUUGGUAUGUACUGAUAUUAUUGGUUUCUCACCUUUUAAAGAACCGUAAUGCCAUUAAUUUGGUGUCACGGGGAAUUAGGACUGUUACCUUGAAAAAAUUAGAGUGUUUAAAGCAGGCUCACGCUUGAAUACAUUAGCAUGGAAUAAUGAAAUAGGACAUCCGAUUCUAUUUUGUUGGUUUCUAGGAUCGAUGUAAUGAUUAAUAGGGAUAGUUGGGGGCAUUAGUAUUCAAUUGUCAGAGGUGAAAUUCUUGGAUUUAUUGAAGACUAACUACUGCGAAAGCAUUUGCCAAGGAUGUUUUCAUUAAUCAAGAACGAAAGUUAGGGGAUCGAAGACGAUCAGAUACCGUCGUAGUCUUAACCAUAAACUAUGCCGACUAGGGAUCGGAUGAUGUUAAUUUUUUAAUGACUCAUUCGGCACCUUACGGGAAACCAAAG